This 73-nucleotide transfer RNA is filed under the name Spirochaetaceae bacterium. RNAcentral describes it as "tRNA-Val". It matches the Rfam family "tRNA". Rfam says of the family: Transfer RNA (tRNA) molecules are approximately 80 nucleotides in length. Their secondary structure includes four short double-helical elements and three loops (D, anti-codon, and T loops). Lineage: Bacteria; Pseudomonadati; Spirochaetota; Spirochaetia; Spirochaetales; Spirochaetaceae. The record is from RNAcentral.
GGGCGCUUAGCUCAGCUGGGAGAGCGUCUGGUUUACACCCAGAAGGUCGGGGGUCCGAUCCCCUCAGCGCCCA